GGUGAUUGACACUCCUGACCACCAAUCAGUAGCGAGCAGGCACUAUUUAGAGUGGGUUGGUUUGAGCCUGGCAUGCGUCACGUCCGUAUCCUCCCCUUUUUCGGCUGCUAUAGUGAUUUCAGCCUGUCUUUUCAGUGUGUCCCUGUUGGAUGCUGGUUUGGAUCUGUUUACUGCCCUCCCUGCAGGCUGCGUAUCCUGAGCGGUGAAUUGAUUCUCAGGAACUUAUCUAUCCGCGUUUGGAUCCUCCUUUUUCGUCCUGGGUGAUUAUUGCUGCGAUUCGACUUUUCCCUCGCUGUGCGCCGAGCGAACAACCUCAGCUUACAACUAUUUAAAAGGGGACUUCUGCUGCUGCCGUUUGGCUUUUGUGAUUUGUUUUAACCGGUAUUGUCUGGUCUACUGUGGGAUCGUGCAACGUGCAAGUAUCGGGGACGACGCGGCCGCUCCUUUUGAGUUUUGCUUCCCUCAAACUUUUAAUAACGUUUUUUAUUGUUUUUCGUUUAAGCGGUGUAUAUGGUGAAUCAUAUUAUGCUUUGGUGACCAUCCAUCAUAUUACGGUGGAACUGUGACCUUAAUUCGCUGUUCCUUCAUUUUUGCCUGAGAUUUAUUUUGCUUUUGGUUUCUUUCAGGAGCUGGGGUCCCACGGGUGAAGGGUCUUUGGUGGUGCUAUUUCUACGUGCGACACUUUUGACGUGUAUGAGUGGGUGCUCUGAGUUCACGGUGAGGUGUGUGCGGGUGUGUGUGUGCGUGGAAGUGUGCUUUUUGAUAAUUAGUGCUGAUCACCAGCCCUGUAUUUAAUGAUUUUAUUUUGUUUUGCUUAUUGGGAAAUGGUGUAAAUUUGUUGUUUAGUAUUUUGUCUGUUUAUUUUUGUUCUUUGUGUAAUUGUCACCGGACCGUAUUCACCAGCGAGAACAUUUUCUUUUUGUUUUAUUUUCUAAAGCCAAGCUUUCAAUAAACUCUGUAAUUUUUAUUA
This is a long non-coding RNA of Silurus meridionalis, 970 nucleotides long. RefSeq lists it as uncharacterized. The transcript is spliced from 4 exons. Lineage: Eukaryota; Metazoa; Chordata; Actinopteri; Siluriformes; Siluridae. The record is from RefSeq and is a predicted model, not a curated record.